Molecule: ribosomal RNA, 447 nt
Filed under: uncultured bacterium
Lineage: Bacteria
Description: partial 16S ribosomal RNA
Rfam family: Bacterial small subunit ribosomal RNA
Source: RNAcentral
CCUACGGGGGGCAGCAGUAGGGAAUUUUCGGCAAUGGGGGGAACCCUGACCGAGCAACGCCGCGUGAACGAAGAAGUUAUUCGUAAUGUAAAGUUCUUUUAACAGGGAAGAAAGAGAAAUUUGACGGUACCUGAAGAAUAAGCUCCGGCUAACUACGUGCCAGCAGCCGCGGUAAUACGUAGGGGGCGAGCGUUAUCCGGAAUUACUGGGUGUAAAGGGAGCGUAGACGGCGAGGUAAGCCUGAAGUGGAAGCCCGCGGCCCAACCGCGGAACUGCUUUGGGAACUGUUUUGCUGGAGUAUGGGAGAGGUAAGCGGAAUUCCUGGUGUAGCGGUGAAAUGCGUAGAUAUCAGGAGGAACACCGGUGGCGAAGGCGGCUUACUGGACCAUAACUGACGUUGAGGCUCGAAAGCGUGGGGAGCGAACAGGAUUAGAUACCCUUGUAGUC